ACGAACGCUGGCGGCGUGCUUAACACAUGCCAGUCGAACGAAGAGCGAUGGAAGCUUGCUUCUAUCAAUCUUAGUGGCGAACGGGUGAGUAACGCGUAAUCAACCUGCCCUUCAGAGGGGGACAACAGUUGGAAACGACUGCUAAUACCGCAUACGAUCUAAUCUCGGCAUCGAGGAUAGAUGAAAGGUGGCCUCUACAUGUAAGCUAUCACUGAAGGAGGGGAUUGCGUCUGAUUAGCUAGUUGGAGGGGUAACGGCCCACCAAGGCGAUGAUCAGUAGCCGGUCUGAGAGGAUGAACGGCCACAUUGGGACUGAGACACGGCCCAGACUCCUACGGGAGGCAGCAGUGGGGAAUCUUCCGCAAUGGACGAAAGUCUGACGGAGCAACGCCGCGUGAGUGAUGACGGCCUUCGGGUUGUAAAGCUCUGUUAAUCGGGACGAAAGGCCUUCUUGCGAACAGUUAGAAGGAUUGACGGUACCGGAAUAGAAAGCCACGGCUAACUACGUG
RNAcentral lists this ribosomal RNA (509 nucleotides) under uncultured bacterium. RNAcentral describes it as "partial 16S ribosomal RNA". It matches the Rfam family "Bacterial small subunit ribosomal RNA", at positions 29 to 507 of the family's 1533-position model. The record is from RNAcentral.